GACUACCUAGGCUACUCAAGGUAGUAAAACAAAAAAAAACCAAUAAAACUKGGSGGUUAUAAUUACUUAGAGAAACUCGCUUCAUAAUCGAAAACACCCGUUAAAUUUCACUUAAUCAAACAGCUUUUAUACCGCCGUCACAGAAUUAGCAUAAAUCCUAACGCCCAAACGAAAAUUUUAAAAAAAUCAGGUCARGGAGAAGCCAAAGACUAAGAAGAAGUAAGUUACAUUAAUAAUAAAUUAAGGAAUAAAAUACAAAUAAAAUAAGAAAGAGAAUCUAAAAGUMCAAUAGCAUUAAAAUUACAACUAGAAAGCCUAAACUAUAACGCACACAUCGC
Molecule: ribosomal RNA, 338 nt
Filed under: Physocyclus globosus
Lineage: Eukaryota; Metazoa; Arthropoda; Arachnida; Araneae; Pholcidae
Description: partial 12S ribosomal RNA
Source: RNAcentral